UCUUCUGAUCUGGUAGUAUAGUGCAUAUGGAUAGCUAUCUGUCCAGAUAUAGGAAUUCUGUAUUUUUGUCUGCCAAGAGCAUC
Molecule: long non-coding RNA, 83 nt
Organism: Myotis davidii
Lineage: Eukaryota; Metazoa; Chordata; Mammalia; Chiroptera; Vespertilionidae
Exons: 3
Source: RefSeq, a predicted model, not a curated record